RNAcentral lists this ribosomal RNA (549 nucleotides) under uncultured bacterium. RNAcentral's name for it is "bacterial SSU rRNA". It matches the Rfam family "Bacterial small subunit ribosomal RNA", at positions 358 to 917 of the family's 1533-position model. The record is from RNAcentral.
GGGAUUUGCGCAUGGGCGAANCCUGNGCACGACGCCGCGUGGGGGAUGAAGCUUCUCGGAGUGUAAACCCCUUUCGACCCGGACGAAUGACCCGCAAGGGUUUGACGGUACGGGUAUAAGAAGCCCCGGCUAACUACGUGCCAGCAGCCGCGGUAAUACGUAGGGGGCCAGCGUUGCUCGGAAUUACUGGGCGUAAAGGGUUCGUAGGUGGUGCGGCAAGUCGGGAGUGAAAUCUCUGGGCUUAACUCAGAGGCUGCUUUCGAAACUGCCGUGCUCGAGUGCGAGAGAGGCCAGUGGAAUUGCAGGUGUAGCGGUGAAAUGCGUAGAUAUCUGCAGGAACACCCGUGGCGAAGGCGGCUGGCUGGAUCGCAACUGACACUGAGGAACGAAAGCUAGGGGAGCAAACAGGAUUAGAUACCCUGGUAGUCCUAGCCCUAAACCAUCAGGACUUGGGGUGGCCCGCGUAGGCGGGUCGUCCCGUAGCUAACGCGUUAAGUCCUGCGCCUGGGGAGUACGGUCGCAAGACUGAAACUCAAAAGAAUUGACGGA